GUGUUGAGGAAGAUAAUGACGGUACUCAACAAGGAAGUGACGGCUAACUACGUGCCAGCAGCCGCGGUAAAACGUAGGUCACAAGCGUUGUCCGGAAUUACUGGGUGUAAAGGGAGCGCAGGCGGGAGAACAAGUUGGAAGUGAAAUCCAUGGGCUCAACCCAUGAACUGCUUUCAAAACUGUUUUUCUUGAGUAGUGCAGAGGUAGGCGGAAUUCCCGGUGUAGCGGUGGAAUGCGUAGAUAUCGGGAGGAACACCAGUGGCGAAGGCGGCCUACUGGGCACCAACUGACGCUGAGGCUCGAAAGUGUGGGUAGCAAACAGGAUUAGAUACCCUGGUAGUCCACACCGUAAACGAUGAUUACUAGGUGUUGGAGGAUUGACCCCUUCAGUGCCGCAGUUAACACAAUAAGUAAUCCACCUGGGGAGUACGACCGCAAGGUUGAAACUCAAAGGAAUUGACGGGGGCCCGCACAAGCAGUGGAGUAUGUGGUUUAAUUCGACGCAACGCGAAGAACCUUACCAAGUCUUGACAUCCUGCGACGCACAUAGAAAUAUGUGUUUCCUUCGGGACGCAGAGACAGGUGGUGCAUGGUUGUCGUCAGCUCGUGUCGUGAGAUGUUGGGUUAAGUCCCGCAACGAGCGCAACCCUUAUGGUCAGUUACUACGCAAGAGGACUCUGGCCAGA
Molecule: ribosomal RNA, 686 nt
Filed under: Faecalibacterium prausnitzii
Lineage: Bacteria; Bacillati; Bacillota; Clostridia; Eubacteriales; Oscillospiraceae
Description: bacterial SSU rRNA
Rfam family: Bacterial small subunit ribosomal RNA
Source: RNAcentral